AUUGAACGCUGGCGGCAUGCCUUACACAUGCAAGUCGAACGGCAGCAUGAUCUAGCUUGCUCGAUUGAUGGCGAGUGGCGAACGGGUGAGUAAUACAUCGGAACGUGCCCUGUAGUGGGGGAUAACUAGUCGAAAGAUUAGCUAAUACCGCAUACGACCUGAGGGUGAAAGUGGGGGACCGCAAGGCCUCAUGCUAUAGGAGCGGCCGAUGUCUGAUUAGCUAGUUGGUGAGGUAAAGGCUCACCAAGGCGACGAUCAGUAGCUGGUCUGAGAGGACGAUCAGCCACACUGGGACUGAGACACGGCCCAGACUCCUACGGGAGGCAGCAGUGGGGAAUUUUGGGCAAUGGGCGAAAGCCUGAUCCAGCAAUGCCGCGUGUGUGAAGAAGGCCUUCGGGUUGUAAAGCACUUUUGUCCGGAAAGAAAUGGCUCUGGUUAAUACCUGGGGUCGAUGACGGUACCGGAAGAAUAAGGACCGGCUAACUACGUG
RNAcentral lists this ribosomal RNA (490 nucleotides) under uncultured bacterium. RNAcentral describes it as "partial 16S ribosomal RNA". It matches the Rfam family "Bacterial small subunit ribosomal RNA", at positions 30 to 507 of the family's 1533-position model. The record is from RNAcentral.